GGGCCUGUAGCUCAGCUAGGAAGAGCGCCGGCGAGAAGACCCGGAUGCCCCGGGUUCAAAUCCCGGCAGGCCC
Molecule: transfer RNA, 73 nt
Filed under: Thaumarchaeota archaeon RBG_16_49_8
Lineage: Archaea; Thermoproteati; Nitrososphaerota
Description: tRNA-Phe
Rfam family: tRNA
About the family: Transfer RNA (tRNA) molecules are approximately 80 nucleotides in length. Their secondary structure includes four short double-helical elements and three loops (D, anti-codon, and T loops).
Source: RNAcentral